RNAcentral lists this ribosomal RNA (684 nucleotides) under uncultured bacterium. RNAcentral describes it as "bacterial SSU rRNA". It matches the Rfam family "Bacterial small subunit ribosomal RNA", at positions 258 to 980 of the family's 1533-position model. The record is from RNAcentral.
UAUUGGCCUCACACAGGGGCUACGACCGGUAGGGGUUCCGAGAGAGACUGAGUCCCGAAUGGGACUGAGACACGCCAACCACCUACGGUGGCAGCAGUUGAUCUGGCCAUUGGGGGAAACCUGAGCAGCGACGCGCGUGGAGGAUGAAGAUUAGUCUGUAAACUCUUGCAGGAAAGACUAGACGUACCUGCGAUAGCUCGCUAACUACGUGCCAGCAGCCGCGGUAAUACGUAGGGAGCAGCGUGUCCGGAUUUACUGGGCGUAAAGGGCGCGUAGGCGGCCUGUUAAGUGUGAAGUGAAAUCUCCAGAGCUCAACUCGGAAACUGCUUCGCAUACUGGCAGGCUGGAGGAAGGUAGAGGUAAGUAGAAUUCCCGGUGUAACGGUGACAUGUAAAAAUAUCGGGAGGAAUACCAAUGGCGAAGGCAGCUUACUGGACCUUUCCUGACGCUGAGGCGCGAAAGCGUGGGUAGCAAACAGGAUUAGAUACCCUGGUAGUCCACGCCCUAAACGAUGGAUACUAGGCGUUAGGGGUAUCGACCCCCCUAGUGCCGCAGCUAACGCAUUAAGUAUCCCGCCUGGGAAGUACGGCCGCAAGGUUGAAACUCAAAGGAAUUGACGGGGGCCCGCACAAGCGGUGGAGCAUGUGGUUUAAUUCGACGCAACGCGAAGAACCUUACCCAGGU